RNAcentral lists this ribosomal RNA (885 nucleotides) under Vibrio cholerae. RNAcentral's name for it is "partial 23S ribosomal RNA". It matches the Rfam family "Bacterial large subunit ribosomal RNA", at positions 2056 to 2925 of the family's 2925-position model. Lineage: Bacteria; Pseudomonadati; Pseudomonadota; Gammaproteobacteria; Vibrionales; Vibrionaceae. The record is from RNAcentral.
AAGAUGCAGUGUACCCGCGGCUAGACGGAAAGACCCCGUGAACCUUUACUACAGCUUGGCACUGAACAUUGAACCUACAUGUGUAGGAUAGGUGGGAGGCUUUGAAGACGUGACGCCAGUUGCGUUGGAGCCGUCCUUGAAAUACCACCCUUGUAUGUUUGAUGUUCUAACUUAGACCCGUUAUCCGGGUUGAGGACAGUGCCUGGUGGGUAGUUUGACUGGGGCGGUCUCCUCCCAAAGAGUAACGGAGGAGCACGAAGGUGGGCUAAUCACGGUUGGACAUCGUGAGGUUAGUGCAAUGGCAUAAGCCCGCUUAACUGCGAGAAUGACGGUUCGAGCAGGUGCGAAAGCAGGUCAUAGUGAUCCGGUGGUUCUGUAUGGAAGGGCCAUCGCUCAACGGAUAAAAGGUACUCCGGGGAUAACAGGCUGAUACCGCCCAAGAGUUCAUAUCGACGGCGGUGUUUGGCACCUCGAUGUCGGCUCAUCACAUCCUGGGGCUGAAGUCGGUCCCAAGGGUAUGGCUGUUCGCCAUUUAAAGUGGUACGCGAGCUGGGUUUAGAACGUCGUGAGACAGUUCGGUCCCUAUCUGCCGUGGGCGUUGGAAGAUUGAAGGGGGCUGCUCCUAGUACGAGAGGACCGGAGUGGACGAACCUCUGGUGUUCGGGUUGUGUCGCCAGACGCAUUGCCCGGUAGCUAAGUUCGGAAUUGAUAAGCGCUGAAAGCAUCUAAGCGCGAAGCGAGCCCUGAGAUGAGUCUUCCCUGACAGUUUAACUGUCCUAAAGGGUUGUUCGAGACUAGAACGUUGAUAGGCAGGGUGUGUAAGCGUUGUGAGGCGUUGAGCUAACCUGUACUAAUUGCCCGUGAGGCUUAACCAUACAACACCCA